Molecule: signal recognition particle RNA, 176 nt
Filed under: Halobacteriales archaeon QH_10_70_21
Lineage: Archaea; Methanobacteriati; Methanobacteriota; Halobacteria; Halobacteriales
Description: signal recognition particle sRNA
Rfam family: Archaeal signal recognition particle RNA
Source: RNAcentral
CCCCGCAAGCUAACGUCGAAGCCUCGUCUCGCGAGGGCAGCGGUCCCCGUCCCGGCGUCUGCAGGGACGCCCGGUCGGGGUUAACCGCGGGUAAUCCGUCAGGCACGGAAGUGAGCAGCGGGCCCGCGGACAGCUGUCGCCCGUGAGGUCGCGGGGUGGAGGAGGCAAGCGGGACU